GACAGAGGGGGCAAGCGUUGCUCGGAAUUACUGGGCGUAAAGGGCGCGUAGGCGGCCUGCUAAGUCGGACGUGAAAUCCCUCGGCUCAACCGGGGAACUGCGUCCGAUACUGGUUGGCUUGAAUUCGGGAGAGGGAUGCGGAAUUCCAGGUGUAGCGGUGAAAUGCGUAGAUAUCUGGAGGAACACCGGUGGCGAAGGCGGCAUCCUGGACCGAGAUUGACGCUGAUGCGCGAAAGCCAGGGGAGCAAACGGG
RNAcentral lists this ribosomal RNA (253 nucleotides) under uncultured bacterium. Its description in RNAcentral is "partial 16S ribosomal RNA". It matches the Rfam family "Bacterial small subunit ribosomal RNA", at positions 524 to 776 of the family's 1533-position model. The record is from RNAcentral.